Molecule: ribosomal RNA, 513 nt
Filed under: uncultured bacterium
Lineage: Bacteria
Description: partial 16S ribosomal RNA
Rfam family: Bacterial small subunit ribosomal RNA
Source: RNAcentral
GACGAACGCUGGCGGCAUGCCUAAUACAUGCAAGUCGAGCGAACAGAUGAAGUGCUUGCACUUCUGACGCUAGCGGCGAACGGGUGAGUAACACGUAAGGAAUCUACCUAUAAGCGGGGGAUAACAUUAGGAAACGGGUGCUAAUACCGCAUAAUAUCUUCUUCCGCAUGGAAGAAGAUUGAAAGACGGCUCUGCUGUCACUUAUAGAUGACCUUGCGGUGCAUUAGUUAGUUGGUGGGGUAACGGCCUACCAAGACGAUGAUGCAUAGCCGACCUGGGAGGGUGAUCGGCCACAUUGGGAGUGAGACACGGCCCAAACUCCUACGGGAGGCAGCAGUAGGGAGUCUUCCGCAAUGGGCGAAAGCCUGACGGAGCAAUGCCGCGUGAGUGAAGAAGGCCUUCGGGUCGUAAAACUCUGUUAUAAGAGAAGAACAAAUUGUAGAGUAACUGCUGCAGUCUUGACGGUAUCUUAUCAGAAAGCCACGGCUAACUACGUGCCAGCCGCCGCCGUAA